GCAAGUCGAACGAUGAAGCCUAGCUUGCUAGGUGGAUUAGUGGUGCACGGGUGAGUAAUAUAUAGAUAACGUGCCUCUUAGUCUGGGAUAGCCAUUGGAAACGAUGAUUAAUACUAGAUACUCCUUCUCUAUCUAAUUAGAGUCGGGAAAGUUUUUUCGCUAAGAGAUCGGUCUAUAUCCCAUCAGCUUGUUGGUAGUGUAAGAGACUACCAAGGCAAUGACGGGUAGCGGGUUUGAGAGGAUGAUC
Molecule: ribosomal RNA, 247 nt
Filed under: uncultured bacterium
Lineage: Bacteria
Description: partial 16S ribosomal RNA
Rfam family: Bacterial small subunit ribosomal RNA
Source: RNAcentral